UGCAGUCGAACGAUGAAGCCCAGCUUGCUGGGUGGAUUAGUGGCGAACGGGUGAGUAACACGUGAGUAACCUGCCCUUGACUCUAGGAUAAGCCCGGGAAACUGGGUCUAAUACUGGAUAGGAACGUCUACCGCAUGGUGGAUGUUGGAAAGAAUUUCGGUCAUGGAUGGACUCGCGGCCUAUCAGCUUGUUGGUGAGGUAAUGGCUCACCAAGGCGACGACGGGUAGCCGGCCUGAGAGGGUGACCGGCCACACUGGGACUGAGACACGGCCCAGACUCCUACGGGAGGCAGCAGUGGGGAAUAUUGCACAAUGGGCGAAAGCCUGAUGCAGCGACGCCGCGUGAGGGAUGACGGCCUUCGGGUUGUAAACCUCUUUCAGUAGGGAAGAAGCGAAAGUGACGGUACCUGCAGAAGAAGCACCGGCUAACUACGUGCCAGCAGCCGCGGUAAUACGUAGGGUGCGAGCGUUAUCCGGAAUUAUUGGGCGUAAAGAGCUCGUAGGCGGUUUGUCGCGUCUGUCGUGAAAGUCCGGGGCUUAACCCCGGAUCUGCGGUGGGUACGGGCAGACUAGAGUGCAGUAGGGGAGACUGGAAUUCCUGGUGUAGCGGUGGAAUGCGCAGAUAUCAGGAGGAACACCGAUGGCGAAGGCAGGUCUCUGGGCUGUAACUGACGCUGAGGAGCGAAAGCAUGGGGAGCGAACAGGAUUAGAUACCCUGGUAGUCCAUGCCGUAAACGUUGGGCACUAGGUGUGGGGAACAUUCCACGUUUUCCGCGCCGCAGCUAACGCAUUAAGUGCCCCGCCUGGGGAGUACGGCCGCAAGGCUAA
This 828-nucleotide ribosomal RNA is filed under the name Micrococcus sp. SL2-4. RNAcentral describes it as "bacterial SSU rRNA". It matches the Rfam family "Bacterial small subunit ribosomal RNA", at positions 56 to 897 of the family's 1533-position model. Lineage: Bacteria; Bacillati; Actinomycetota; Actinomycetes; Micrococcales; Micrococcaceae. The record is from RNAcentral.